GUCUUUGUAGCGUAAUAGAUAGCGUGUUGGACUUCUAAUCAAAAUGUCGUGGGUUCGAAUCCCACCUAGGACG
Non-coding RNA from Trichonephila clavipes, 73 nucleotides. The record is from the annotation of a GenBank genome assembly. NCBI's taxonomy places the organism in Eukaryota, Metazoa, Arthropoda, Arachnida, Araneae, Nephilidae.